Molecule: long non-coding RNA, 217 nt
Filed under: Coffea arabica (coffee)
Lineage: Eukaryota; Viridiplantae; Streptophyta; Magnoliopsida; Gentianales; Rubiaceae
Description: long non-coding RNA (CARA_LNC001257)
Source: RNAcentral
CGAGGGUGAAUGAAUGAAUGAACGAACGAACGAACGAACGAGGGUUUAUUGAUAAACGAAAAAUGCAUUUUCUAAUGAUUGGAGGAAUAAGGGGAAAUGUCAGGAGAACGAAUGAACGAAAUAACGAAUUGCUCCUUGUGAGCCGUAUCCUUUUAAUGAAUGUGUUACUAUCGCUUUCCAUUGUAAAUGUUUCUUGAAUUAUUGAUACUCCAUGUUU